AACGAACGCUGGCGGCAUGCCUAAUACAUGCAAGUCGAACGAGAUCUUCGGAUCUAGUGGCGCACGGGUGCGUAACGCGUGGGAAUCUGCCCUUGGGUUCGGAAUAACUUCUGGAAACGGAAGCUAAUACCGGAUGAUGACGUAAGUCCAAAGAUUUAUCGCCCAAGGAGGAGCCCGCGUAGGAUUAGGUAGUUGGUGAGGUAAAGGCUCACCACGCCGACGAUCCUUAGCUGGUCUGAGAGAAUGAUCAGCCACACUGGGACUGAGACACGGCCCAGACUCCUACGGGAGGCAGCAGUAGGUAAUAUUGGACCGUGGGCGAAAGCCUGAUCCAGCAAUGCCGCGUGAGUGAUGAAGGCCUUAGGGUUGUAAAGCUCUUUUACCCGGGAUGAUAAUGACAGUACCGGGAGAAUAAGCUCCGGCUAACUCCGUG
RNAcentral lists this ribosomal RNA (433 nucleotides) under uncultured bacterium. Its description in RNAcentral is "partial 16S ribosomal RNA". It matches the Rfam family "Bacterial small subunit ribosomal RNA", at positions 29 to 507 of the family's 1533-position model. The record is from RNAcentral.